Molecule: ribosomal RNA, 305 nt
Filed under: uncultured bacterium
Lineage: Bacteria
Description: bacterial SSU rRNA
Rfam family: Bacterial small subunit ribosomal RNA
Source: RNAcentral
GCGCCUACGGGGGGCAGCAGUCGGGAAUAUUGCGCAAUGGAGGAAACUCUGACGCAGUGACGCCGCGUAUAGGAAGAAGGUUUUCGGAUUGUAAACUAUUGUCGUUAGGGGAGAUAAAAGACUGUACCUAAGGAGGAAGCCCCGGCUAACUAUGUGCCAGCAGCCGCGGUAAUACGUAGGGAGCGAGCGUUAUCCGGAAUUAUUGGGUGUAAAGGGUGCGUAGACGGGAAAACAAGUUAGUUGUGAAAUCCCUCGGCUUAACUGAGGAACUGCAACUAAAACUAUUUUUCUUGAGUGCAGGAGAG